This 253-nucleotide ribosomal RNA is filed under the name uncultured bacterium. Its description in RNAcentral is "partial 16S ribosomal RNA". It matches the Rfam family "Bacterial small subunit ribosomal RNA", at positions 524 to 776 of the family's 1533-position model. The record is from RNAcentral.
GACAGAGGUGCCGAGCGUUAGGCGGAAUCACUGGGCUUAAAGCGUGUGUAGGCGGAUCGUUAAGUGCCUUGUGAAAUCCCACGGCUUAACCGUGGAACUGCUUGGCAUACUGGCGGUCUUGAGCCACCUAGGGGCUACCGGAACAAAUGGUGGAGCGGUGAAAUGCGUAGAUAUCAUUUGGAACGCCAAUGGUGAAAACAGGUAGCUGGGAGUGUGCUGACGCUGAGACACGAAAGCCAGGGGAGCGAACGGG